AGCAGCCGCGGUAAUUCCAGCUCCAAUAGCGUAUAUUAAAGUUGUUGCAGUUAAAAAGCUCGUAGUUGAAUUUCGGGACCAAUUUGUUGGUCGUGCCUCGGUACGUACUGGUAUUAUUGGUUUCUCCCUUCUGAAGAACCUCGAUGCCAUUAAUUUGGUGUCGUGGGGAAUCAGGACUGUUACUUUGAAAAAAUUAGAGUGUUUAAAGCAAGCAUACGCUUGAAUACAUUAGCAUGGAAUAAUGAAAUAGGACGUUUGAUUCUAUUUUGUUGGUUUCUAGGGUCGACGUAAUGAUUAAUAGGGAUAGUUGGGGGCAUUAGUAUUCAAUUGUCAGAGGUGAAAUUCUUGGAUUUAUUGAAGACUAACUACUGCGAAAGCAUUUGCCAAGGAUGUUUUCAUUAAUCAAGAACGAAAGUUAGGGGAUCGAAGACGAUCAGAUACCGUCGUAGUCUUAACCAUAAACUAUGCCGACUAGGGAUCGGAUGAUGUUAAUUUUUUAAUGACUCAUUCGGCGCCUUAC
This 520-nucleotide unclassified non-coding RNA is filed under the name uncultured Glomus. RNAcentral's name for it is "SSU rRNA". It matches the Rfam family "Eukaryotic small subunit ribosomal RNA", at positions 569 to 1091 of the family's 1831-position model. Lineage: Eukaryota; Fungi; Glomeromycota; Glomeromycetes; Glomerales; Glomeraceae. The record is from RNAcentral.